AUGUUGAUGUACUCUACGCAACAAUGGGUAUGUAUUUACUCAUGGAGGUGGCGCGGUGUCAUGGAGAUCUUGCAAACAACCAUAUUGACGAGGUCAACUAUGGAAGCAGAACUAACUGCUUUAGACACAGCCAUUGUUGAGGCAGAAUGGUUGCGUGAGCUCUUGAUGGACUUGCCUGUGGUUGAAAAACAUGUACCGGCUAUUCUUGUGAAUUGUGACAACCAAACGGUUAUCGCUAAAGUGAACAAUUCUAAGGAUAAUGUGAAGUCAACAAGACAUGUGAAGAGACGUUUAAAGUCUGUCAAGAAGUUGAGAAACUCCGGAGUAAUAAUUGUUACAUAUACUCAAACAGACAAAAACCUGGUAGAUCCCUUACAAAGGGACUAUCACGAAAUGUGGUAG
RNAcentral lists this ribosomal RNA (402 nucleotides) under Triticum aestivum (bread wheat). RNAcentral's name for it is "partial small subunit ribosomal RNA". Lineage: Eukaryota; Viridiplantae; Streptophyta; Magnoliopsida; Poales; Poaceae. The record is from RNAcentral.